This 497-nucleotide ribosomal RNA is filed under the name uncultured bacterium. RNAcentral describes it as "partial 16S ribosomal RNA". It matches the Rfam family "Bacterial small subunit ribosomal RNA", at positions 28 to 507 of the family's 1533-position model. The record is from RNAcentral.
GAUGAACGCUGGCGGCGUGCCUAAUACAUGCAAGUCGAGCGAACGGACGAGAAGCUUGCUUCUCUGAUGUUAGCGGCGGACGGGUGAGUAACACGUGGAUAACCUACCUAUAAGACUGGGAUAACUUCGGGAAACCGUAGCUAAUACCGGAUAAUAUUUUGAACCGCAUGGUUCAAAAGUGAAAGACGGUCUUGCUGUCACUUAUAGAUGGAUCCGCGCUGCAUUAGCUAGUUGGUAAGGUAACGGCUUACCAAGGCAACGAUGCAUAGCCGACCUGAGAGGGUGAUCGGCCACACGGGAACUGGGACACGGUCCAGACUCCUACGGGAGGCAGCAGUAGGGAAUCUUCCGCAAUGGGCGAAAGCCUGACGGAGCAACGCCGCGUGAGUGAUGAAGGUCUUCGGAUCGUAAAACUCUGUUAUUAGGGAAGAACAUAUGUGUAAGUAACUGUGCACAUCUUGACGGUACCUAAUCAGAAAGCCACGGCUAACUACGUG